RNAcentral lists this non-coding RNA (24 nucleotides) under Arabidopsis thaliana (thale cress). Lineage: Eukaryota; Viridiplantae; Streptophyta; Magnoliopsida; Brassicales; Brassicaceae. The record is from RNAcentral.
GGGACCUCUCUCGUUUGUACACAA